Molecule: ribosomal RNA, 828 nt
Filed under: uncultured bacterium
Lineage: Bacteria
Description: bacterial SSU rRNA
Rfam family: Bacterial small subunit ribosomal RNA
Source: RNAcentral
UGAGGAAAGCUUGCUUUCCUUGAUGACGACUGGCGCACGGGUGAGUAACGCGUAUCCAACCUUCCCAUAACUACGGGAUAACCCGUUGAAAGACGGCCUAAUACCGUAUGACAUCGUCUGCUGACAUCAAAUAACGAUUAAAGGUUUAGCGGUUAUGGAUGGGGAUGCGUCUGAUUAGCUUGUUGGCGGGGUAACGGCCCACCAAGGCUACGAUCAGUAGGGGUUCUGAGAGGAAGGUCCCCCACAUUGGAACUGAGACACGGUCCAAACUCCUACGGGAGGCAGCAGUGAGGAAUAUUGGUCAAUGGGCGAGAGCCUGAACCAGCCAAGUAGCGUGCAGGAUGACGGCCCUAUGGGUUGUAAACUGCUUUUAUGUGGGGAUAAAGUGCGUGACGUGUCAUGCAUUGCAGGUACCACAUGAAUAAGGACCGGCUAAUUCCGUGCCAGCAGCCGCGGUAAUACGGGAGGUCCGGGCGUUAUCCGGAUUUAUUGGGUUUAAAGGGAGCGUAGGCUGUCUAUUAAGCGUGUUGUGAAAUUUACCGGCUCAACCGGUGGCUUGCAGCGCGAACUGGUCGACUUGAGUAUGCAGGAAGUAGGCGGAAUUCAUGGUGUAGCGGUGAAAUGCUUAGAUAUCAUGACGAACUCCGAUUGCGCAGGCAGCUUACUGUAGCAUAACUGACGCUGAUGCUCGAAAGUGCGGGUAUCAAACAGGAUUAGAUACCCUGGUAGUCCGCACGGUAAACGAUGGAUGCUCGCUAUUCGUCCUAUUUGGAUGAGUGGCCAAGUGAAAACAUUAAGCAUCCCACCUGGGGAGUACGCCGGCAANGG